Long non-coding RNA from Psammomys obesus (fat sand rat), 615 nucleotides. RefSeq lists it as uncharacterized. The transcript is spliced from 10 exons. The record is from RefSeq and is a predicted model, not a curated record. Lineage: Eukaryota; Metazoa; Chordata; Mammalia; Rodentia; Muridae.
AUUUAUCUGCCUUUGUUGUGAUUAAAGGCUUGAACCGCCAGCCUCUGGCUUUUCCUAGUUUGAGGCACUUGACUGCACUCGAAAGGAUGGGAGUAGGCUCUCUCUUUGGAUGGAGAAGACAGACAAAAAUCUGAGUAGCACAAUGAACGGCAGGUGUUUUGGUUUGAAGAAAAGUGUUUACUGAAGUAUUCGGUUUGGAUUGUUUCUAUUUUCUCAGACAUGGCUGACCUUAAAGCAGCUUACAGUUUGGAGACAGACCUGUUUAGUGAUAAAAAUUGAACACUUUGCUGGUAGUCCAGGGUCCUGUGACAUUCUGGGAUUUUCAAGCUACCUCCCAGGAUGAGUACAGGCUCUCCUGAUGUUUUCUUUAUGAAAAGGUUCUGAUAGCAGCGCCAAACAUCCAUACUUGUUGAUGCAUAGGUCGGUGUCUGGGCCAGACUCUGAGCCAUGCCAGGAAAUCAUGUCUUCACAAUCCCAGCUAAAGUGAGGUCUGAGGAAAGCAUGAGCCGGGUGUAAAUGGAACAAACAACAAAGAUCUCUUAUCAUCCUCCUGCAGUUUUGGUUAUUUGGAGUUUGUCAUCUAUUCCUACUAAUAAAGUUCUUUUUUUCCAUUUA